CAUGUUGAGAAUAAUUAUCAAUUAAAUCUACCCGUCUUAAAAUAUGCUCUUAUUCUUGAUCGAUCUACGUUAAUAAUUAAAUAAAAUCUGCUACUUUGAAUUAGUUGACCUAAUUAAACCCUGCUCGAAAUUUUAGUUUCUGUAUUAAAUAAAUGUUUGGCCACCUAAAAUCAACUGAGAUAAUAUAUAGAUUAUGCACUAUGGCGUAUCUUUCUGCCCUUUCAUUAAUAUUAUUAUUUUGUUUGCUUGCCUGUUUGUAUGCACACACUUAGCAUGAAAUCGUUUCACCAUUACUUGUGUUUGCCGGCAUG
This 311-nucleotide long non-coding RNA is filed under the name Solanum tuberosum (potato). RNAcentral's name for it is "long non-coding RNA (STUB_LNC000029)". Lineage: Eukaryota; Viridiplantae; Streptophyta; Magnoliopsida; Solanales; Solanaceae. The record is from RNAcentral.